UUAGGUUAAGUUAGAAAGGGCGCACGGUGGAUGCCUUGGCACUAGGAGCCGAAGAAGGACGUGACGAACAACGAAGUAGCGGCGAGCGAAACGGAAACAGCCCAAACCAAGGGGCUUGCCCCUUGGGGUUGUAGGACACUCUANACGGAGUUACAAAGAAACGAAGUAGACGAAGCGAUCUGGAAAGGUCCGCGAAACAAGGUAACAGCCCUGUAAUCGAAACUUCGUUUCCUCCAGAGUGUAUCCUGAGUACGGCGGGACACGUGAAACCCCGUCGGAAUCCGGGAGGACCAUCUCCCAAGGCUAAAUACUUCCUAGUGACCGAUAGUGAACCAGUACCGUGAGGGAAAGGUGAAAAGCACCCCGGGAGGGGAGUGAAAGAGAUCCUGAAACCGUGUGCCUACAAGUAGUUGGAGCCCGUUAAUGGGUGACAGCGUGCCUUUUGUAGAAUGAACCGGCGAGUUACGAUUACGUGCAAGGUUAAGCUGAUAAGGCGGAGCCGCAGCGAAAGCGAGUCUGAAUAGGGCGAAUGAGUACGUGGUCGUAGACCCGAAACCGUGUGAUCUACCCAUGUCCAGGGUGAAGUUCAGGUAACACUGAAUGGAGGCCCGAACCCACGCACGUUGAAAAGUGCGGGGAUGAGGUGUGGGUAGGGGUGAAAUGCCAAUCGAACUCGGAGAUAGCUGGUUCUCCCCGAAAUAGCUUUAGGGCUAGCCUCGAGGGAAGAGUAUUGGAGGUAGAGCACUGAUUGGACUAGGGGUCCCCACAGGAUUACUGAAUUCAGUCAAACUCCGAAUGCCAAAUACUUAUCCUCGGGAGUCAGACUGCGAGUGCUAAGAUCCGUAGUCAAGAGGGAAACAGCCCAGACCAUCAGCUAAGGUCCCAAAGUAUACGUUAAGUGGAGAAGGAUGUGGAGUUGCCCAGACAACCAGGAUGUUGGCUUAGAAGCAGCCACCAUUUAAAGAGUGCGUAAUAGCUCACUGGUCGAGUGACUCUGCGCCGAAAAUGUACCGGGGCUAAACGUAUCACCGAAGCUAUGGAUUGACACCUUUUGGUGUCAGUGGUAGGGGAGCGUUCUAAGUGCAGCGAAGUNAGACCGUAAGGACUGGUGGAGNGCUUAGAAGUGAGAAUGCCGGUAUGAGUAGCGAAAAGAGGGGUGAGAAUCCCCUCCGUCGAAAGCCCAAGGUUUCCUGAGGAAGGCUCGUCCGCUCAGGGUAAGUCGGGACCUAAGCCGAGGCUGAAAAGCGUAGGCGAUGGACAACAGGUUGAAAUUCCUGUACCACCUCCUCACCGUUUGAGUAAUGGGGGGACGCAGCAAGGUAGGGUAAGCGCACUGAUGGAUAUGUGCGUCCAAGCAAUUAGGCUGAGAAGUAGGCAAAUCCGCUUCUCGNGAAGGCUGAGUUGUGAUGGCGAGCGAAAUUUAAGUAGCGAAGUUCCUGAUCCUACACUGCCAAGAAAAGCCUCUANCGAGGUGAGAGGUGCCCGUACCGCAAACCGACACAGGUAGGCGAGAAGAGAAUUCUAAGACGCUCGGGAGAACUCUCGUUAAGGAACUCGGCAAAAUGACCCCGUAACUUCGGGAGAAGGGGUGCUCUGAUAGGGUGUUAAAGCCNGAGAGAGCCGCAGUGAAUAGAUCCAAGCGACUGUUUAGCAAAAACACAGGUCUCUGCGAAGCCGCAAGGCGAAGUAUAGGGGCUGACACCUGCCCGGUGCUGGAAGGUUAAGAGGAGGGGUUAUCCUUAGGGAGAAGCUCUGAAUUGAAGCCCCAGUAAACGGCGGCCGUAACUAUAACGGUCCUAAGGUAGCGAAAUUCCUUGUCGGGUAAGUUCCGACCCGCACGAAUGGUGUAACGAUUUGGAUACUGUCUCAACGAGAGACCCGGUGAAAUUAUAUUACCUGUGAAGAUGCAGGUUACCCGCGACAGGACGGAAAGACCCCAUGGAGCUUUACUGUAGCUUGAUAUUGGAUUUUGGUACAAUUUGUACAGGAUAGGUAGGAGCCAGAGAACCCGGAGCGCCAGCUUCGGUGGAGGCGUCGGUGGGAUACUACCCUGAUUGUAUUGAAAUUCUAACCUAGGACCGUGAUCCGGUUCGGGGACAGUGUCAGGUGGGCAGUUUGACUGGGGCGGUCGCCUCCUAAACAGUAACGGAGGCGCCCAAAGGUUCCCUCAGAAUGGUUGGAAAUCAUUCGUAGAGUGCAAAGGCAAAAGGGAGCUUGACUGCGAGACCUACAAGUCGAGCAGGGACGAAAGUCGGGCUUAGUGAUCCGGUGGUUCCGCAUGGAAGGGCCAUCGCUCAACGGAUAAAAGCUACCCUGGGGAUAACAGGCUUAUCUCCCCCAAGAGUCCACAUCGACGGGGAGGUUUGGCACCUCGAUGUCGGCUCAUCGCAUCCUGGGGCUGAAGUAGGUCCCAAGGGUUGGGCUGUUCGCCCAUUAAAGCGGUACGCGAGCUGGGACCGCUGGUGUACCAGUUGUUCCGCCAGGAGCAUAGCUGGGUAGCUACGUGUGGAAGGGAUAAGUGCUGAAAGCAUCUAAGCAUGAAGCCCCCCUCGAGAUGAGAUUUCCCUUGGAGUUAAUCCAGUAAGACCCCUUAAAGAUGAUGAGGUUGAUAGGUCUCGGGUGGAAGCACGGCGACGUGUGGAGCUGAGAGAUACUAAUCGGUCGAGGACUUAUCCUAAAA
RNAcentral lists this ribosomal RNA (2680 nucleotides) under Anaerobacillus isosaccharinicus. RNAcentral describes it as "bacterial LSU rRNA". It matches the Rfam family "Bacterial large subunit ribosomal RNA". The record is from RNAcentral. Lineage: Bacteria; Bacillati; Bacillota; Bacilli; Caryophanales; Bacillaceae.